AUACGGAGGAUCCGAGCGUUAUCCGGAUUUAUUGGGUUUAAAGGGAGCGUAGGUGGACAGUUAAGUCAGUUGUGAAAGUUUGCGGCUCAACCGUAAAAUUGCAGUUGAUACUGGGUGUCUUGAGUACAGUAGAGGCAGGCGGAAUUCGUGGGGUAGCGGGGAAAUGCUUAGAUAUAACGAAGAACUCCGAUUGCGAAGGCAGCCUGCUGGACUGUAACUGACGCUGAUGCUCGAAAGUGUGGGUAUCAAACAGGAUUAGAUACCCUGGUAGUCCGCACAGUAAACGAUGAAUACUCGCUGUUUGCGAUACACUGUAAGCGGCCAAGCGAAAGCGUUAAGUAUUCCACCUGGGGAGUACGCCGGCAACGGUGAAACUCAAAUGAAUUGACGGGG
Molecule: ribosomal RNA, 393 nt
Filed under: uncultured bacterium
Lineage: Bacteria
Description: partial 16S ribosomal RNA
Rfam family: Bacterial small subunit ribosomal RNA
Source: RNAcentral